Molecule: non-coding RNA, 125 nt
Organism: Lonchura striata (white-rumped munia)
Lineage: Eukaryota; Metazoa; Chordata; Aves; Passeriformes; Estrildidae
Source: RefSeq, a predicted model, not a curated record
GGCACGGCGCAGAGCACGCUUCGCUCUCUGGGUCUCAGUGAGGUUCUCCAGGAGCAGCUCCAGGAGGUUUUGGUCGAGCGGCGCCGGGUGGUGCUGGGCAAGGCCCUGGGCCAGGGCGAGUUCGG